GGCCUUGACAUACUAAGAACUUUCCAGAGAUGGAUUGGUGCCUUCGGGAACUUAGAUACAGGUGCUGCAUGGCUGUCGUCAGCUCGUGUCGUGAGAUGUUGGGUUAAGUCCCGNAACGAGCGCAACCCUUUUCCUUAUUUGCCAGCGGGUCAUGCCGGGAACUUUAAGGAUACUGCCAGUGACAAACUGGAGGAAGGCGGGGACGACGUCAAGUCAUCAUGGCCCUUACGGCCAGGGCUACACACGUGCUACAAUGGUCGGUACAAAGGGUUGCUACCUCGCGAGAGGAUGCUAAUCUCAAAAAGCCGAUCGUAGCCCGGAUCGCAGUCUGCAACUCGACUGCGUGAAGUCGGAAUCGCUAGUAAUCGCGGAUCAGAAUGCCGCGGUGAAUACGUUCCCGGGCCUUGUACACACCGCCCGUCACACCAUGGGAGUUUGUUGCACCAGAAGUAGGUAGUCUAACCGCAAGGAGGACGCUUACCACGGUGUGGCCGAUGACUGGGGUGAAGUCGUAACAAGGUAGGCGUAGAUGA
This 533-nucleotide ribosomal RNA is filed under the name uncultured bacterium. RNAcentral describes it as "bacterial SSU rRNA". It matches the Rfam family "Bacterial small subunit ribosomal RNA", at positions 977 to 1509 of the family's 1533-position model. The record is from RNAcentral.